GACGAACGCUGGCGGCGUGCUUAACACAUGCAAGUCGAACGCUGAAGCUCAGCUUGCUGGGUGGAUGAGUGGCGAACGGGUGAGUAACACGUGAGUAACCUGCCCUCUUCUUUGGGAUAACGCCCGGAAACGGGUGCUAAUACUUGAUAUUCACUGAUUCUCGCAUGGGGGUUGGUGGAAAGGUGUUUGCUGGUGGGGGAUUGGUUCGCGGCCUAUCAGCUUGUUGGUGGGGUGAUGGACUACCAAGGCUUUGACGGGUAGCCGGCGUGAGAGGGUGACCGGUCAACUUGGGACUGGGCUACGGCCCAGAGUCCUACGGCAGGCAGCAGUCGGGCAUAUUGCGCGAUGGGCGAAAGCAUGAUGCCGCGGCGCCGCGUGAGGGAUGGAGGACUUCGGGUUGUAGUCAUCUUUCGAUAAUGGUCGUGCCGCAGCUUGGGGUUGUGGUGAGGGUAGUGGGUAAAAAAGCGCCGGCUAACUACGUG
Molecule: ribosomal RNA, 482 nt
Filed under: uncultured bacterium
Lineage: Bacteria
Description: partial 16S ribosomal RNA
Rfam family: Bacterial small subunit ribosomal RNA
Source: RNAcentral